CAGCAGUCGCCACGGGAAUACAGAGGGUGCGAGCGUUAAUCGGAUUUACUGGGCGUAAAGCGUGCGUAGGCGGCUUCUUAAGUCGGAUGUGAAAUCCCUGAGCUUAACUUAGGAAUUGCAUUCGAUACUGGGAAGCUAGAGUAUGGGAGAGGAUGGUAGAAUUCCAGGUGUAGCGGUGAAAUGCGUAGAGAUCUGGAGGAAUACCGAUGGCGAAGGCAGCCAUCUGGCCUAAUACUGACGCUGAGGUACGAAAGCAUGGGGAGCAAACAGGAUUAGAUACCCCUGUAGUCCCUGUCUCUUAUAA
RNAcentral lists this ribosomal RNA (304 nucleotides) under uncultured bacterium. RNAcentral's name for it is "partial 16S ribosomal RNA". It matches the Rfam family "Bacterial small subunit ribosomal RNA", at positions 506 to 809 of the family's 1533-position model. The record is from RNAcentral.